AAAAAUUGAGGUAUUCAUUACCCCUUGUAUUUAAAACCUCACUCUAUAAAACCUAAAAUUUUUUUAAAAAUGAA
RNAcentral lists this unclassified non-coding RNA (74 nucleotides) under soil metagenome. RNAcentral describes it as "partial internal transcribed spacer 1". The record is from RNAcentral.